RNAcentral lists this ribosomal RNA (200 nucleotides) under uncultured bacterium. RNAcentral's name for it is "partial 16S ribosomal RNA". It matches the Rfam family "Bacterial small subunit ribosomal RNA", at positions 118 to 318 of the family's 1533-position model. The record is from RNAcentral.
UGAGCAAUCUGCCCUUCACAUCGGAAUAACCAUUGGAAACGAUGGCUACUACCGAAUAUGACCUCGGAUCGCAUGAUCUGAAGUGGAAAGCUCCGGCGGUGAAGGAUGAGCUCGCGGCCUAUCAGCUAGUUGGUGUGGGUAAUGGCCCACCAAGGCGACGAUCAGUAGCUGGUCUGAGAGGAUGACCAGCCACACUGGGA